Molecule: unclassified non-coding RNA, 155 nt
Filed under: soil metagenome
Description: partial internal transcribed spacer 1
Source: RNAcentral
GCGAGUAUGGCCCUCACGGGUCUGAAUCCACCACUAAACACCUUUGUGAACCAGUCAGGGGGGACUCGGCCGUGAAAGCCCAGGCGAUUAGCGGAAGGGCCCUCCUUUGCAAACCCGUUUAGAAGUCUUGGAAAGUACUUUUGUAUAAUCUAGUA